This 253-nucleotide ribosomal RNA is filed under the name uncultured bacterium. Its description in RNAcentral is "partial 16S ribosomal RNA". It matches the Rfam family "Bacterial small subunit ribosomal RNA", at positions 524 to 776 of the family's 1533-position model. The record is from RNAcentral.
AACGUAGGUUCCGAGCGUUAUCCGGAUUUACUGGGCGUAAAGCGCACGUAGGCGGCUUUGUAAGUUAGAGGUGAAAGCCCGGGGCUCAACUCCGGAAUUGCCUUUAAGACUGCAUCGCUAGAAUUGUGGAGAGGUAAGUGGAAUUCCGAGUGUAGAGGUGAAAUUCGUAGAUAUUCGGAAGAACACCAGUGGCGAAGGCGACUUACUGGACACAUAUUGACGCUGAGGUGCGAAAGCGUGGGGAGCAAACAGG